CCUACGGGAGGCAGCAGUGGGGAAUAUUGGACAAUGGGCGAAAGCCUGAUCCAGCCAUGCCGCGUGUGUGAAGAAGGCCUUCGGGUUGUAAAGCACUUUCAGUGGGGAAGAAAGCCUUGGGGCUAAUACCCUCGAGGAAGGACAUCACCCACAGAAGAAGCACCGGCUAACUCCGUGCCAGCAGCCGCGGUAAUACGGAGGGUGCGAGCGUUAAUCGGAAUUACUGGGCGUAAAGCGCGCGUAGGCGGUCUGAUAAGCCGGUUGUGAAAGCCCCGGGCUCAACCUGGGAACGGCAUCCGGAACGGUCAGGCUAGAGUGCAGGAGAGGAAGGUAGAAUUCCCGAUGUAGCGGUGAAAUGCGUAGAGAUCGGGAGGAAUACCAGUGGCGAAGGCGGCCUUCUGGACUGACACUGACGCUGAGGUGCGAAAGCGUGGGUAGCAAACAGGAUUAGAUACCCUAGUAGUC
RNAcentral lists this ribosomal RNA (465 nucleotides) under Vreelandella stevensii. Its description in RNAcentral is "partial 16S ribosomal RNA". It matches the Rfam family "Bacterial small subunit ribosomal RNA", at positions 338 to 795 of the family's 1533-position model. The record is from RNAcentral. Lineage: Bacteria; Pseudomonadati; Pseudomonadota; Gammaproteobacteria; Oceanospirillales; Halomonadaceae.